UUAUAACAUACCCUCACAUCAGGCCAUACACACAACCGAAGUGAAAGAUUGGCCUACACAUCGGCUUAUAUUCAAAACCGAUGUAAGGACCUUUCUCUUGUUUCACAAAACGCUAUCCCUUCCUUUUCACAAAACCCAUUCCUCUUCGUGAACUCAACCUUCUUCUCUCACGCCGCUCUUCUUCUUCACAAAACAAAAGGAACCACGACACCCUCUCCGUUUCUGAUCAGAACGCCUCCGUGAUUCGAGUUCUGACCAACUCCAUUUUGUUGGCUCUGACGCCUCUCUCCAUCUUUGAUUCUGCUUCACCCAUCGUCGUCACAGAUCUCAUCCUCUUCGUCCGUUCGUUGUGGGUUUCUCUUCUACGAUUCCGAAGAAGGUGUAGAUCAUGGUUGCUCGAUUUUUGUUUGGGUUGCAAGCGAAAUGCAAAGAUGACGAUGAUAUUGUUGAAGGUUCUUGCGAUUGAAGCUCGAAGUGUUGAAGAAGCGUAGAGUCCUCUUUGAAUCUUCUGUUCUUGAGAGAAAUGAACCCAUGAUGGUUCUUCUUGUUAAUAAGGAAAAGGGUUACAUCGAUCUCAAUAAACGUAGGGUUUUUUAAGAAGAUAUUCAAGCUUGUGAGAAAGGCAUAAUAACAGUAAACCUUGAACCUCGAUUUAGAGAUAUUGACAUUGAAAAGUAGAGAACCAACUGAGCAAAUCAACUUUUAAUACUAAAACACAUGUUUUCUCACAUGAUCAAAGAAGAGAGCUUGAGCAACAUAUUUUGUGGCAAUGAUGAUCAAUUUGAGGUAUGGCCAUGGUUGGAGAAGAAACACUUCAAUUUAACAAAUAUUUGGCUAAUUGAGCAUAAGUUAAGGGCUAAUAAACUAUCGGAGAUUGACAGAGGAUAUAUCUCACCUCAGUUUGUUACAAAUCCAAAGAAAUCAACGGUUGAAUUUGAGAAUGCAAAUGUCUUGAUUACCGAUCAAAAGAUUUCAACAAUCAAAGAUAUAAUUUCUCUGAUGGACUCUGCUGGAGAAAACCACUCAAUUAAAAGCUGAAGGUGUUGAAGUGUAUCAACAAAAUAGGUGGGAGAGUUUAUCUGAUUAUUGAAGAAGCUGUUGUUGCAGGCUGCAAGAGUAAUCAUCUCAAAACAAGUUGUAAUGUAUGAAUUAAAGGCUCCUUAUAAUUCAACUUUUCUUAUGUCACAUUGUAUAAUUAGGAGAUGCAAAUGUGUGUGUAAAAUAAGCUUCAUAUUGUUUUCUGUGUUGGAUUUCAUGUCCCAUGUUGUUAUGUAACAAAUGUGAGAUUGGAAUAAAUUAUGUACUAGUUUUGAUAUUCUUGUUAUAUGUAUGAUAAGUUUCUUGUGUA
Long non-coding RNA from Vicia villosa (hairy vetch), 1348 nucleotides. RefSeq lists it as uncharacterized. Lineage: Eukaryota; Viridiplantae; Streptophyta; Magnoliopsida; Fabales; Fabaceae. The transcript has 4 exons. The record is from RefSeq and is a predicted model, not a curated record.